GAUGCAAGCGCACGGACGGCCCAGAUGCACGCGCACGGACGGUGCAGAUUCAAUCAAGAACGGACGGCCCAGAUUUAAUCAAAAUGGACGGCUGUGAUCAAAAGGCAAAAUGGUAUAAAUAAAACCCCCACACCUGACCACAAAAACCCUAGCCGCCUGCCCUCGCCGGAGAAGACGAACCGGACGCCGGAGGAGCCACCUGCCGCCGCACCGGGGAGUUUUCCGACCGCCGAUCGAGGUAAAUUUCAUACCCCCAGCUCGUUUUUCCACGCUGAGUUCCCCUGUGGCCAAAUCGGAGCCAAAAUCCAGGCCAAACGGCCGGAAAACACGGCUGAAAUCCAGCGGCGCCGCCGCGUCCCUCCUCGAUUUUUGCCUCCGAUGAGGCCCUUCCCGGCCUCC
Molecule: long non-coding RNA, 399 nt
Filed under: Carica papaya (papaya)
Lineage: Eukaryota; Viridiplantae; Streptophyta; Magnoliopsida; Brassicales; Caricaceae
Description: long non-coding RNA (CPAP_LNC005921)
Source: RNAcentral